This 27-nucleotide non-coding RNA is filed under the name Mus musculus (house mouse). Lineage: Eukaryota; Metazoa; Chordata; Mammalia; Rodentia; Muridae. The record is from RNAcentral.
UGCUGAAGCAGGUCAAGCUACCAUUGU